This 73-nucleotide transfer RNA is filed under the name Trichomonas vaginalis G3. It matches the Rfam family "tRNA". Rfam says of the family: Transfer RNA (tRNA) molecules are approximately 80 nucleotides in length. Their secondary structure includes four short double-helical elements and three loops (D, anti-codon, and T loops). The record is from Rfam by way of RNAcentral. Lineage: Eukaryota; Parabasalia; Trichomonadida; Trichomonadidae.
GGUCUUGUGGCCCAAUGGAUAAGGCGUCGGCCUUCGAAGCCGAAGAUUGAGGGUUCGAGUCCCCCCAAGAUCG